AUGUCCGCACGCUGUGGUUGUGGGCUGGAGUGGUCAACGCGGGGAGCAAUGGCGGCCCCGUCGUCGUGGUUGCUCCUGCUCUGUCUCGCCGGCGGCGUGCUUCAUGCCGGCGCCCAGAGAGCACCCGACACCACGGGUUUCGUCAGCGUCGACUGCGGCCUCUCGGAGCACAGCGGCUACGUGGACGACGCCACCAAGCUGCCCUACAGCUCGGACGCCGGCUUCACCGACACCGGCCAGAACUACAACGUCUCGGCACAGUACAACGACCAGGCGCUCCUCAGACGGCACCGGCAGCUCCUCACUGUCCGCAGCUUCCCCGGCCCGCCGGGGCGGCGGGGCUGCUACACCCUCCCGUCCUUCGAGGCCGGGACGUCCAAGUACCUUGUCCGGGCCACCUUCAUGUACGGCAACUACGACGAGCUCAACAAGCCCCCCGCCUUGGACCUCUACCUCGGCGUCAACUUCUGGAAGACGGUCAACAUCUCCAGGCCUGACGCAGUGCACACCGCCGAGGUCAUCGCCGUCAUCCCGGUCGACGCGGCGCAUGUCUGCCUGGUGAACACCAACUCCGGGACGCCCUUCAUCUCGUCGCUGGUGAACACGAUGUAUCCGCUGGUGAACUGGACACAGGGGCUGGUCCUCAUCGGCAGGCGCAACUCCGGCGCCACAGAGUUGAUUAGCCGGAGACGGAAACGACAGAUGGCAUGA
Molecule: ribosomal RNA, 711 nt
Filed under: Triticum aestivum (bread wheat)
Lineage: Eukaryota; Viridiplantae; Streptophyta; Magnoliopsida; Poales; Poaceae
Description: partial small subunit ribosomal RNA
Source: RNAcentral